CCUACGGGGGGCAGCAGUGAGGAAUAUUGGUCAAUGGGCGUAAGCCUGAACCAGCCAAGUCGCGUGAAGGAUGAAGGUCCUAUGGUUCGUAAACCUCUUUUAUAAGGAAGUAAAGUGCGGGACGUGUCCCGUUUUGUAUGUACCUUAUGAAUAAGGAUCGGCUAACUCCGUGCCAGCAGCCGCGGUAAUACGGAGGAUCCGACAGUUAUCCGGAUUUAUUGGGUUUAAAGGGUGCGUAGGGGGCGUUUUAAGUUAGCGGGGAAAGUCUGUGGCUCAACCCUCGAAUUGCCGUUGAUACUGGGAGGCUUGAGUAUGUUUGAGGCAGGCGGAAUGCGUGGUGUAGCGGUGAAAUGCUUAGAUAUCACGCAGAACCCCGAGUGCGAAGGCAGCUUACCAAGCCAUGACUGACGCUGAGGCACGAAAGUGCGGGGAUCGAACAGGAUUAGAUACCCGAGUAGUC
RNAcentral lists this ribosomal RNA (460 nucleotides) under uncultured bacterium. Its description in RNAcentral is "partial 16S ribosomal RNA". It matches the Rfam family "Bacterial small subunit ribosomal RNA", at positions 338 to 795 of the family's 1533-position model. The record is from RNAcentral.